CAGGGAGACAACAAAAUGUUUAAUAUUAUUAUUUUGUCACCUUAGGUCGAUCGGUAUCUCACAUUCUUAAUUUAUUAAGGAUUUUAUUUCCUAAGUUUUUUCUAGGUCACACCCAUUACUUUUCCUGGGCCAUUAGCUCAGGUGGUUAGAGCGCACCCCUGAUAAGGGUGAGGUCCCUGGUUCAAGUCCAGGAUGGCCCAUAUCUCUAUGUUGGGGGUAUAGCUCAGUUGGUAGAGCGCCUGCUUUGCAAGCAGGAUGUCAGCGGUUCGAGUCCGCUUACCUCCACUGAUUACCACCUCUUCCAUAAUUAUUAAAGAAAUGUUUUGAGUAGUGAUCAAAUUCUGAACGAAUCUAGCUUCCUAAUGAAUUCAUUAAGAUGCUGGACUCAUUGAAUUAUUUUCAUUGUUUUCAGAGAACCUUGCCAACUGCAUAGAUUAUUUUUAAAGACAAUAAGCAUNUUUAUGAUGCAGAUUUAUUAUUUUGUGCGAAUGCAUUAAUAAACAAUUCUAUUAAGCUGAUGCUUCAAUUAUGAAGUUAUUG
Molecule: transfer RNA, 540 nt
Filed under: uncultured Prochlorococcus sp.
Lineage: Bacteria; Bacillati; Cyanobacteriota; Cyanophyceae; Synechococcales; Prochlorococcaceae
Description: partial 16S-23S ribosomal RNA intergenic spacer
Rfam family: tRNA (bases 213-285)
Source: RNAcentral